RNAcentral lists this long non-coding RNA (634 nucleotides) under Setaria viridis. Its description in RNAcentral is "long non-coding RNA (SVIR_LNC002151)". Lineage: Eukaryota; Viridiplantae; Streptophyta; Magnoliopsida; Poales; Poaceae. The record is from RNAcentral.
GGUGACGAAUUUUUGUAGAAAAAAGGGACCAUAACCUGAAUUUUGUGUGUGCUUGAGGGGUGGGGGUGUUUGGGAAAAGGGAAGGGGUGGGGGAUAUCUAAUUGAUCAACUCUCUAAGAAGACUCUGAAGUGGGUGAACACUUGACCCAGCGGGCAAACAUGCCGGCUCCGGCUCCGCGCACCUGCUGACACCUUUCGAAGCACUUUCACGUGUGAACCUGUUAUGGACACCUUCUUUGGUGCCAAGUUCCAGCACCAAAAGAAGAAACCGGCGUUAGGUUAGUUGGUUGGUUGGUUGAGAUAAAGAUAAGAUAGCUUUGGUUUAGAUUAGAAGUUUGUUAGCUGGCCGACUGUUAUAUAAAGCACGGCAGAGUCUUUGUAAUCCCCAAGUAGAAAGUAGUUGGAAUUCUUAGAGCCUCCAGAGGGAGGGCGAGAUCCCUUCUACCUUGUACUCUCCAUUUCCGGCAAUAUAGCCAUAACAAAACCGAAGUCGUCUCGCCGAACUCCUUCCUUUCUCAUUUCAGUCCUCGCCUUUUUCAUCUUCCGUAGGGCUCAUUCUCCAUGUUUAAUUGAAGCUACAAACAGUAGGCAAGGAGUUCGUGAAUAAUCAUUAUAUGAUCAAUCUAAUAGUAAC